AGCUCCGUGCUUGGUGUUGUGUCAGUAUCUGUGUUAGAGCCUGCUCAGCUCUGUGCUUGGUGCUGUGUCAGUAUCUGUGUUAGAGCCUGCUCAGCUCUGUGCUUGGUGCUGUGUCAGUAUCUGUGUUAGAGCCUGCUCAGCUCCGUGCUUGGUGUUGUGUCAGCAUCUGUGUUAGAGUCUACUCAGCUCUGUGCUUGGGGUUGUGUCAGUAUCUGUGUUAGAGCCUCCUCAGCUCUGUGCUUGGGGUUGUGUCAGUAUCUGUGUUAGAGCCCCCUCAGCUCUGUGCUUGGUGCUGUACCUUGGUUGAAGGCCUGGAGCCAAUCAAAUGGGAGUCUGACUCCCUCCAGAGUGAAACACACACCCCGAUUAGACAAUGACACCCCAAUAAGCUGCCUCACAGGGACAUAACGCAAUGAGAAGCCGACAGACACUUGAGCAUUACCCCAGUUUAUUCUGUGUUUACCCCGGAAAGGACAGAGAAAGGGAUGUCCUGAAUUAAACCGGCCGACAACGACAAUGAGUAGUAAAUCAGCACCCCUACUGUGUGAACACUGGAUCUCCAAUCGAACACACUGAUCCGAACCCCCACCCCCCACCCGCCACGAGUGGGCAUCCUCGCCGAGGAGAAGCCCUCUGAAACCACAUCAGUGGUGUUACCCUGGCAAGACAGAGCUGGGUGAGGUCCUCCAGUCAGGACAGGAAGCGCUUCUUUACACAGAGGGUGGUAGGAGAGUGGAACAGCCUGCCCAGUCACGUGACACCCUGGUUUCUCUCAGCUGGACUGAGCUGAGCUGAGCUGAGCCGGGCCGAGCCAAGCUAAGCCAAGCUGAGUCCUCUGCCUCUCCAGCGGCACCGACUGGCAGCCUGUCCUGGGCCGGGCGCUGCAGUGUCC
RNAcentral lists this long non-coding RNA (892 nucleotides) under Lepisosteus oculatus (spotted gar). RNAcentral's name for it is "lncRNA (ENSLOCG00000022204.1)". The record is from RNAcentral. Lineage: Eukaryota; Metazoa; Chordata; Actinopteri; Semionotiformes; Lepisosteidae.